Long non-coding RNA from Homo sapiens (human), 2218 nucleotides. Ensembl annotates it as serine protease 40A (pseudogene). Its record names the gene PRSS40A. NCBI's taxonomy places the organism in Eukaryota, Metazoa, Chordata, Mammalia, Primates, Hominidae. The record is from Ensembl.
CCCAGGCCACCGGCCUGAUGAGGGAAGCAGGGGCAGAGCGCUCAGGCCAGGGCCGGCGGGGGCACUGCGCACUGGCCGCCUCCCUCCUCUGGCCAAUCCUCCUGCCGCUGCGCGUCUAGUCCACCUCGUCCCUCUCUGCAGUCUUCCUGCCUGAGCCCUUCCAACUUCAGGAGGCAGAGGUCGGUGUCAUGGACAACACUGUCUGCGGAUCCUUUUUCCAGCCCCAGUACCCCGGCCAGCCAAGCAGCAGUGACUACACCAUCCACGAGGACAUGCUGUGCGCUGGGGACCUCAUAACAGGAAAGGCCAUUUGCCGAGCAUGUUCCUACGUGAAGCAUGGAGUUACGCAAUGGCCUGCCUGUCCAUGAAGUUCCUCUGGCCUCCUCCGAUUCUGUGGCUGCAAAUCCACACCUAGGAGCUCCGCAGGCCUGCUGGAGCACAGCGCCUGUAGGUUUCUGCGCCUGGAACCCACCUCAGGACCACAAGCCGCAUUCAGUCUCUUUUUAUAGAUCUGGAACCCGAAGCCCAGCGUGGUUAGGAACUUGUCUAAGGUCACUUGGUAGUAAAUACUGGAACAGGGAUUCAAACCCACAUCUCCAGAGAGAGCUCAGAAGCCUUGUGCUUUCCAUGAGUGCAGCUGUUUCCAGAGGCCUCCGGCCCUGUCUCACCUUCCCAGACUGCCUUGAGAGGCUCUAGCUGGCCUGUCUCUAGUGUGGCCAGAUUCUAUCUGGUCAGUGGCAAGGGAGGACCCCAGGCCACAAUACUGACAUCAGGGAACAGAACAGAUCUGCAGGGCCAGUGAGUGGUGCUACGGAAAGGCUGGGAGUGGCCCCUGCGUGGUUUUCCCUAGACCCAUCGUCAGGGGCUCCAGGCCUCCAUGUGUUGUGCUGCACGGGCUACUGGCUCCCUCUCCAAAAUCGACCCUGGGUGAGCUGUGGAGGCGAGAAGGCAGUGUGCAUUUCAGAAACUAACCAAAAUCAGUGAGAAAAUCUUGGAGAAACUGAAGUUACCCUGGGCGGCUGUAGCUGGGAAUGGAGGAUGGGGCAGCCAGGAGCCAGACUUAAGAAGGCUGUUCACACUCUGCUCUUGUUGCUUGCCUCCCACACCUCGUGACAAAUGCUGCCUGGUCCCGCUCAGGUGUCAGGAUUGCAAGGUGGCUGUGUCAGCCAGUGUGAGGGCCCCACAAGCCACCGGUGUUGUGUGCCCUCCAUCCUCCUCCUGAAACCCCCCUGGGUGGGACAGUUGCUAUCCAGGGAAAUGGGCCUCUUCCACUGUGAUCUCCUCCAGGGCUUUCACCGGCAGGCCCGCCUGCAGGAGUGGCUUGUGGGGUGGCAGGAUGCAGGAGAGAGUGAGUGAGGUGCUUCGUGCCUGGGGCCCUCUGCUCUGGGGCCACCCUCCUCGUUGACUCACUGGGAGCCUUGCUAGUGCAGACAGGGUGACCAGGAGCUGCUAAGCCCAGGGAAUGCACACACGUGCACUGGAGCAGCUGCCUAUCUUAAGAGUCCAAUGCCCACCGAAACACAGUAGGCUGCACAGCAUCCACUACUGGAAGUAGAGUUGCUGGAAAAGACAGACCAAACAUACUUAAUAAGCACAAUAAAUAUCUUUUUGGAUACAGAAAAAUAUUAUUAGUAAUAAGACCUAAGACAAAGAAACUACCGAAAAGAACCAAGUCAAAAUAUUACAUAUGCAAAAUGUAAUCGUUGAAUUAAAGACCACAUUACAUUGAGCAAACAGGGUCAAUGCAGAUGAAAGAGGAAGCCAGUCGUUACUUUAAAGGUAUGGCUGUCACAGUGUGGACUUUGGAGCCGGUCCACUUUAGUUGGGGUAAUUUGUAGAGCAUUUAUUUACAAAAGUACUAAUCACCCAGGUAUGUUUGGGCUGAAGGCUCCGGGAAAGCCCAGGGCAGGGGCCUGGCACAGGCAUCAGAAGCAGAGCUCUUGCCACCCAAGGCCCUGAGGGACCAGUGAAGUAGGAGCCGUGGGGAGAGGGUGCCUGAGAGGAGCAGGGACACUCAGCCGAGGGACACAGCCAGCCAAGGCGGCCUCACAAAGAGGAUUUUCAUGGAAACAAAUGCCCUGACUACUUCAUUCCCACAUCUUCGGCUGAGGCUCCCAUGGCAAGUGGAGAGAGCAGCUGCAGGUGGCCUCGGUCACUUGGGUCAGCUCUCCUGCUUAAAACAAACACAGAAAUCAAUAAAAGUGUUGAUUGUAUUAUU